Molecule: unclassified non-coding RNA, 159 nt
Filed under: uncultured Elaphocordyceps
Lineage: Eukaryota; Fungi; Ascomycota; Sordariomycetes; Hypocreales; Ophiocordycipitaceae
Description: sequence contains ITS2
Source: RNAcentral
CAACCCUCAAGACCCCUUCGGGGGACUUGGUGUUGGGGACCGGCCCCGGCCGCCCCCCAAAUGCAGUGGCGACCUCGCCGCAGCCUCCUCUGCGUAGUAGCACAACCUCGCACCGGAGCGCGGAGACGGUCACGCCGUAAAACGCCCAACUUAUUUUAG